GCUUCCAUGGUGUAGUGGUCACUGCACUUGCUUUGCACGCGGGAGACCCGGGUUCGAUUCCCGGUGAGGUA
Molecule: transfer RNA, 71 nt
Filed under: Diaphorina citri (Asian citrus psyllid)
Lineage: Eukaryota; Metazoa; Arthropoda; Insecta; Hemiptera; Psyllidae
Rfam family: tRNA
About the family: Transfer RNA (tRNA) molecules are approximately 80 nucleotides in length. Their secondary structure includes four short double-helical elements and three loops (D, anti-codon, and T loops). Further hydrogen bonds mediate the characteristic L-shaped molecular structure. tRNAs have two regions of fundamental functional importance: the anti-codon, which is responsible for specific mRNA codon recognition, and the 3' end, to which the tRNAs corresponding amino acid is attached (by aminoacyl-tRNA synthetases). tRNAs cope with the degeneracy of the genetic code in two manners: having more than one tRNA (with a specific anti-codon) for a particular amino acid; and 'wobble' base-pairing, i.e. permitting non-standard base-pairing at the 3rd anti-codon position.
Source: Rfam by way of RNAcentral